AUGAACGCUGGCGGCGUGCCUAAUACAUGCAAGUCGAGCGAACAGACGAGGAGCUUGCUCCUCUGACGUUAGCGGCGGACGGGUGAGUAACACGUGGAUAACCUACCUAUAAGACUGGGAUAACUUCGGGAAACCGGAGCUAAUACCGGAUAACAUGUUGAACCGCAUGGUUCCACAGUGAAAGACGGUCUUGCUGUCACUUAUAGAUGGAUCCGCGCCGCAUUAGCUAGUUGGUAAGGUAACGGCUUACCAAGGCAACGAUGCGUAGCCGACCUGAGAGGGUGAUCGGCCACACUGGAACUGAGACACGGUCCAGACUCCUACGGGAGGCAGCAGUAGGGAAUCUUCCGCAAUGGGCGAAAGCCUGACGGAGCAACGCCGCGUGAGUGAAGAAGGUCUUCGGAUCGUAAAACUCUGUUAUUAGGGAAGAACAAAUGUGUAAGUAACUAUGCACGUCUUGACGGUACCUAAUCAGAAAGCCACGGCUAACUACGUG
This 496-nucleotide ribosomal RNA is filed under the name uncultured bacterium. RNAcentral's name for it is "partial 16S ribosomal RNA". It matches the Rfam family "Bacterial small subunit ribosomal RNA", at positions 29 to 507 of the family's 1533-position model. The record is from RNAcentral.